CCGGCCUUUGGCUGAGGAGUGGGUGACUACUAUGUUUGCCCAUAAGGAUUUCUGCAGGCCAGGGACCCAGGAUAGACCAGAGUAGAAAGAUGAGGCUAUAAGGAAGUUUAUGCAGUAAGGGAUAAAUUAUUACAAAGAAAAUUCUUUAUGUUUAAUCUGAAUGACAGAAUGGUAGCUCAUGAAUAGAUUUUAAAAAUUUAGGAGGAAAAUAGUGGUAAGAAGGCAUAGCAAAUUAGUGUUAGACAUAAUGAUUUUGAGUAGGCCGUACAAGUGGAAAUGUUCAGAAUACAGAGGAAGGUGAUAUGUGAGAGAAAUGCAUGAGAAAAGAUAGUGCUCAGAUGUCACACUAUAGUUCAUGAGACUAAGAUGUAGCCAAUCAUAACAAAGUAUUAUUUUUCAAUCUUUAAAAAAACCUUAACAUAUAUACAAAAUAAACACAAGGGUGAAUAAGAGAAUCAACAUUUAUAGCAGUGUAUCAUGUUGCUAUGGUUUGAAUAUUUGUCCCCUCCAACACUGAUGUUGAAAUUUAAUCCUCAAUGUGGCAGUAUUGAGAGGUGAGGCCUUUAAGAGGUUAUUGGGUCAUGAGAGCAAAGCCCUCAUGAAUGGAGUAAUCCAUGCAUGAAUUAUGGAUUACUAGAUUAAUGAGUUAAUAGAUUAAUGGGAGUGGGACGGUGGUUUUAUAAGAAGAGAAUGAGAGAUUUGAACAAGCAUGCUCAGCCACGUCACCAUGUGAUACCCUGUAUCACCUCUGGACUCUAUGUACAGAGUCCCCACAAACAAGAAGCCUCUAACCAGAUGUGGACCCUUGACCCUGGACUUCUCAGUUUCUAGAACUGCAAGAAAUACAUUCCUUUUCUUUAUAAAUUGUCCAGUUUCAGGUAUUCUGUUAUGAGCAACAGCAAGUGGACUAAUACACAUGUACUAAUAAAACUAAACUAACUUACAUUGCUGCUUCAUUACUUGGUGAGAGAAGAGACAUCUACUCACGGAAGAAUCUAUUUACUCAAUAAUGGCACCUUACAUUUAUAAAUUAUAAUAGUUGUCUACUAACAUCUCCUUAAAUAUGUAAGUUACAGAGCUAAUAAAUGAGAUGACCAAGAUUUUAGUUAUAAUUAAAAGAAAAAAUUUAACUCUUCUUAAAAAAAAAUUUUGUUCAAUUUGUUGGAUAAUGACGCACUGGUUUAAAAGAUGCACAGCAAUUUAACGUAUGUGUGUACACACAUAUCUCAAAAGAAAGCUUCACAAAGCAUUACUUACUCUUAAUACUUGCUCUUACAUUUUCUAUUCUAUUGCUUUUCAUUUUUUCAUUUUUUUCCUUUUUAAUACUGCCUAUAGCUUCUAAGUUGAUUUCAGCAUCUAUAGUUUGGCUUAGAGAUUUUUAGAUUAAAAAGAGACAUUUAUGAUCAUUUUAUAGAACCAUCUGUAAAGCUAUGAUUGAAAAAUCCAGAAGAGAUAUUUUUAAGAAAAUGUAAAAAAGAAAAAAACCAGAAAAUGAAUGGUUGCGAGCUACUAACAGAGUGGGAAAAGAGACAAAGGAUAGAUAAAAUCAGGUCAUAGGGUGGACAAAGACAGUAUCAAAGAGGACAAUGUUGCAAAAAUGAAUGUGAAGUCAACAAAAGCUUAUUUCAAUACCUGUCUUUACCUUUACUGCAGGGUAUUUCGAAGUGUAGUCCAAAACUAAUUUAAGCCAAAAUACCAGGGACACUUGCUAAAAAUUCAGAUACCUGGGCCCCAUCCCAGACCUAGUGAAUUAAACUCUCUUUGGCAAUUGAAAAGUUUCCCAGGGCAUCCUUUUAACUAAGUAUUGUUAUCUCAAUUCCUUUUACAAAUCAGCUUUCAAAGUGGUACUUUCCAAAAACAUGCCAACUCACUUCACACAUAGGUAUAUUUCUGAAAAGUUGUUAGGUGAGUACUUGUACACCAAACCAUUAUUCCCCUAAAGACUAUCAUGAUCAUUUCAGAAUUAUGUUCAUCCAGAAAGAAACAAACCAGAUUGGAGACCAUUCAACCUUUAAACAAAUAUUCUUUAUUUUUCUGUAUUACUUAUGUAAGAGGUUGACCAAAUGGACUCACAUACUCAUUAUUUUUACUUAGUUUAGAAGCAUGUAUAUUUAAAAUUACAACAUACUGUUAACACAUUCCAUUUUGACUUUGAACACUUUGAACUAAUUGCACUAAACUUAACUGGUUAAUUAUCAUAAUCAAGUGGCAUUUAGCAGAACUCACAAACAGAAAAAGUGCCACAGGAAGACAGUUUUCAGAAAAUACAAAAACUGAGGUUUGUGGUUUGGACUCUUAACAGCAAAGAUAUCCCUUUAUGUGGUGAGCUCUGCUAACAAAAAGUAUUUGUCAACUUCUUGCCAAUAGAUAGCCAAGAAGUAUGAGAUGUGAAUCUAUUCAAUUCAAAGAUGGAAAUAACAGGCAGUCACAAGAACAUCACCGUACAAUGAAGGACAUUAAAUACAUUGCUGGGGGAGGCGCUUCCAAGAUGGCCAAAU
RNAcentral lists this long non-coding RNA (2498 nucleotides) under Homo sapiens (human). RNAcentral describes it as "HSALNT0328358". The record is from RNAcentral. Lineage: Eukaryota; Metazoa; Chordata; Mammalia; Primates; Hominidae.